RNAcentral lists this ribosomal RNA (1369 nucleotides) under uncultured bacterium. Its description in RNAcentral is "bacterial SSU rRNA". It matches the Rfam family "Bacterial small subunit ribosomal RNA", at positions 28 to 1381 of the family's 1533-position model. The record is from RNAcentral.
GACGAACGCUGGCGGCGUGCCUAAUACAUGCAAGUAGAACGCUGAAGAGAGGAGCUUGCUCUUCUUGGAUGAGUUGCGAACGGGUGAGUAACGCGUAGGUAACCUGCCUUGUAGCGGGGGAUAACUAUUGGAAACGAUAGCUAAUACCGCAUAACAAUGGAUGACACAUGUCAUUUAUUUGAAAGGGGCAAUUGCUCCACUACAAGAUGGACCUGCGUUGUAUUAGCUAGUAGGUGAGGUAACGGCUCACCUAGGCGACGAUACAUAGCCGACCUGAGAGGGUGAUCGGCCACACUGGGACUGAGACACGGCCCAGACUCCUACGGGAGGCAGCAGUAGGGAAUCUUCGGCAAUGGGGGCAACCCUGACCGAGCAACGCCGCGUGAGUGAAGAAGGUUUUCGGAUCGUAAAGCUCUGUUGUAAGUCAAGAACGAGUGUGAGAGUGGAAAAUUCACACUGUGACGGUAGCUUACCAGAAAGGGACGGCUAACUACGUGCCAGCAGCCGCGGUAAUACGUAGGUCCCGAGCGUUGUCCGGAUUUAUUGGGCGUAAAGCGAGCGCAGGCGGUUUGAUAAGUCUGAAGUUAAAGGCUGUGGCUCAACCAUAGUUCGCUUUGGAAACUGUCAAACUUGAGUGCAGAAGGGGAGAGUGGAAUUCCAUGUGUAGCGGUGAAAUGCGUAGAUAUAUGGAGGAACACCGGUGGCGAAAGCGGCUCUCUGGUCUGUAACUGACGCUGAGGCUCGAAAGCGUGGGGAGCGAACAGGAUUAGAUACCCUGGUAGUCCACGCCGUAAACGAUGAGUGCUAGGUGUUGGAUCCUUUCCGGGAUUCAGUGCCGCAGCCAACGCAUUAAGCACUCCGCCUGGGGAGUACGACCGCAAGGUUGAAACUCAAAGGAAUUGACGGGGGCCCGCACAAGCGGUGGAGCAUGUGGUUUAAUUCGAAGCAACGCGAAGAACCUUACCAGGUCUUGACAUCCCGAUGCUAUUUCUAGAGAUAGAAAGUUACUUCGGUACAUCGGUGACAGGUGGUGCAUGGUUGUCGUCAGCUCGUGUCGUGAGAUGUUGGGUUAAGUCCCGCAACGAGCGCAACCCCUAUUGUUAGUUGCCAUCAUUCAGUUGGGCACUCUAGCGAGACUGCCGGUAAUAAACCGGAGGAAGGUGGGGAUGACGUCAAAUCAUCAUGCCCCUUAUGACCUGGGCUACACACGUGCUACAAUGGUUGGUACAACGAGUUGCGAGUCGGUGACGGCAAGCUAAUCUCUUAAAGCCAAUCUCAGUUCGGAUUGUAGGCUGCAACUCGCCUACAUGAAGUCGGAAUCGCUAGUAAUCGCGGAUCAGCACGCCGCGGUGAAUACGUUCCCGGGCCU